This is a long non-coding RNA of Salvia miltiorrhiza (redroot sage), 5007 nucleotides long. RefSeq lists it as uncharacterized. Lineage: Eukaryota; Viridiplantae; Streptophyta; Magnoliopsida; Lamiales; Lamiaceae. The transcript is spliced from 5 exons. The record is from RefSeq and is a predicted model, not a curated record.
AUUUGAAAAUUAUUAAAGUUUCGCGUUAUUAAUAUAUAUAUAUCUAUUGAGCGAAUUUAUGAAUAUGUCUAGUCGCGCUCCUAGUCAGAUAGAUAAUUUUAAGUUAUAAAUUAUAACUUUAGCAAAUGAAAAUUAUGCUCAAAGAUUGGGCCUGAAUAAAUAUUUAUAAAUUUCUUGAUAUUGAGCCAUGUAUAUAUAUUUUCUUACGUUUGGGCUUUAAAUAGCUCAUUUUAUAAGCUUAUUUAUAAUUGGACCUGAAUUAUGUUUUAAGCUGAGAAUUUUAUAGAAGGGCCCAUAAAAACCAUAUUAUGAUAUUUUACUGAUUCUUAAUUAUGAAGCUUUAUUCUGAGAUACAAGAACGUGCCAAAUUCUUUUGCAAUGAUUUUAAAACAAUUAUUCAAGUUUCAAUAUUUAUAGUUAAUUAAUGAUUUCAAGGAUUUGGAUACCUUAUUUUCGUAUCUGCAAAUUAACAAUUUCUACUCUAUUUAUUUACAUUUGUUUAAAGAAGUCUCCAAGCCAGCCAUUCCUAUUUUCAUUCUUAUCAGAUAUCUAACCGCCCUAGUUAGAUGUGACUUUGAACUAUAAAUUAUACCUAUGGAAAUAAAGAUCUAUACUCAUAUUUUUAUAUAAAUUUGUGCCUAAAUAAAAUUAUUUAUUUAAAUAUAUUUAUUAUGACAUUAUAUUGAUUUUUGGAUAAAGAAUAAAAUAUUUUCUUAAUUUUUAUUAAUGUUGGGCUUGUUGUUAUUAAUGGGCUAAAGCUUCAUAUUUUUCAUGGAAGCCCAUACAUUCUUAUAUAUUAUAUAAAUUAUUAUUUUAAUUUAAAAGAAGGUAUAGGUGUAUCACUUUGCUACAGCCAUUUCAUUUCACUCGGCCACGUUUCGUCUCAAAACAUUCUUGAGCCACAAGUAUCAUCUCAAAUUUUCUUAUUUAAAACAUCAUCCUUUAUCAUCUCAGUUAUCAUGCCAAAAACGCAGCAAUCUUUAAGAUCAUUUGUGCUCUUUUCUCUGUAAAGAUUUCUCCAUUUGCUCUUUUCACAAAAUAAUUCAAUCUGCCAUUUCUCACUGCACAUCAUCAAUCGGUAAUUCUCAUAAACUUGUAUAGUUUUAUUUUCAUAUGCAAAGAUCUCUGCUUUCUUUCAAUUUACAGAAAACAACCAAACUCCCACAAAAUUCUUAUUUUUAUAAAUCCAAACAUGCAUACACACAUCAUUAGAUCUAGUGUUUGUAAUUCAUAAGAAAUCGAAAAGGAAUACAUAUUCAUUGAUUUUACAGAAAACAAAUUUAGAUUUAGAAACCUAUAUUGAUAAAGGGAGUUGGGAUGAAGUGGGAUGAGGAGCUACCCGCCGGAGCAGGGGGCGGCGUCAGAUGGUUGUCUGGCCGGAUCUGGAAAGGGAGAGAGGGCGGCGGCGGCAGUACAAGAAGGGAGGCGGCUGGACGCGCCUCCGUCGACACAGGGACGGCGGUGGUGGCGUUGCGGUCGGCCAAUUGGGAGGAAGAAGAGGAGUCGUCGGCCUCCGGCGACGGUGUGCCGGUGGCGGAGGCAGGGGGAGGCCGAGGGAGAGAGGGAGAAGGGGGAAAGGGAGCCUGCGUGAAUGGUGAAGUGGGGUGAGCUGCGUAUUUUGUAAUUGUGUGGUGAAAGUGAGAGUUAAAUUAGGGAUUUAAGAGAGAGAAUGAAUUUGGGCUUAAGGGUGGGCUAAAGCUUUAAUUGGGGCUUAAUUUAUUAAAUGGUUGGGCAUUAAUUUUACUAAAUAAGUUGGGCUUAAUUCUACUUUUAAUAUGGCUGCAUUUGCAUAUAUUUUUACAAAUGAUAUUAUUAAAUUUUAUAUUUCGAUUUACAUUAUUAAUUUGAACUUAGUUUUAAUUAAAUAUUGAGCCCAAAUAUUUUUAUAAGAAAAGCUCUUUUAUAAUCUAUUAGACCAAUGAUUUUUAAAUGGUUAUAUGAUAAUAAAUUCUUAAGAUUUAAAUUACUAUUACUAUUAUUAUUUUUAUAGAUUCAAAUAGGCCCUUAUAUUUUGAAUUUAUCUGACUAGGUGCGGCGCGACUAGGACGUGAACUUUAAAUUCUUGCAGUUAAUUUUCAAAACUCAAAAGUUCAAGUUUCAGGUGUGGGAUUUAUUUCAGUACAUGCACGUGGUUAAUAUUUGUCCAUUUUAAUAUUAUGUGUUUACCGUAUGUGUUGUAAAAAUAUUUAUCGCUAGGGGCCAGUAUAAUUGGUCCAGGACUUCACCGUCCUUGGUAUGCCACAAAGCGAUUUCAUGUUACAGGGUUGCAACCAUUAUAUGGUCGCCAGGGGCCCACAUAUAGGGUCCGGGACAUUAAAGUCCUUGGAGUUGCCACAGUUUUAAAGGCCGGAAGCGCGUGGAAGGUCGAAUGGCGAGUAAAAUGUUUUGAAUUUAGUUAUACUUAAAAACGUUAUGUUUAGUAAAGUAUUUUAACAUAAGAUAUUUAUUUCCCUAUUUUCACAUUAAAUAUUUAUUUAUAGUCAUUAUUUUCCACGUGCGUUUUCAUUUAAAAUUAAAAUGAAUUUGGGUGUCACAAGUCGAAUGGGCGCGUCGAAUCUAUUUAAAGAUAAAUGUUUCCUAAAACAUAUUAUGUUAUUUCAUGUGAUAUCUCUUGAUUAUGUAAACUCUGAAAUUCUAUACUAUUUGAGAUUUGUGUGUGAUUUGUUUAAAUAAAUGUUAUUAUAUUAUUUUAAUGUCAUGACUUGUUUAAUUUAUAUUUAAAUUCAUUUCAAAUAUUUAUUUAAGAAUUUAUAUCUUUACGAAAAUAUAUACAUGGAUACAUACAUAAUUUUAAUUAUAUAAAGAUUUUAUUUUGUUAUAUUUUCCGCUGCUAAAAAGAUAUUAUUUUAUAUUUAGAGUUUUUCCUUAGUAUAAGUUUUAUUAAUUAGUUAAUUAUUUUUCUGACAUCUUCAUGUCAUGCUUUGAAAAUAAAGUUGUUAAAUUUAUGAUUUAAAAAUCAAGAUUUAUAUUUGAAUACAUUAUUGAAAAUUUUGAUAUCUUAUAAAUCGUUUUAAAAGUGCUUUAAAGACCAAUUUUAUUUAAAGAAUUCUUUUUCUUAAAAUUUAUUUUCGAAAAUAUUUAUUUUAAAAAAUGAGUUUUAAAUUAUUUUAAAAGACUUCCGUAUUAAAUAUUUAUUUAAAUUUUAUAUUUAACUCCUUAAUUAGAUUAGGGUGUUACAGCAUGGUAUCAGAGCAGGUCUACUUUCCUGUAGACUCUGCAAAAUAUUUUACAUAAAAUUCUUAAAUGUCAUGUGUGAGAAAAUCCAUUCGACCUCUACGUGCUCCGGGUUCAAGGUAAAUGUAUUUUAAAAGUAUUUCAAAAUAUUUUUAUGGGGAUGAGUAUAAAUUGUUUACGUUGAAAGUAUGUUGAAAUUUGCUGCAAUAAUUGAAGUUAUUAUCAGAAAGUUCAAGUUCAUUAUGCAAGUUAUUAUGAGAAAGUUCAGUAUUCAAAUUACAUGUUGAAGAUUAUUGCAGCUAUGAAUUGUUAAUUUCGAGGACGAAAUUUUUUUUAAGUGGGUAGGUUUGUCACAGCCCAAAACCGUUUAGUUCAUUUGCAAUUUUUAUUUGAAAAUUAUUAAAGUUUCGCGUUAUUAAUAUAUAUAUAUCUAUUGAGCGAAUUUAUGAAUAUGUCUAGUCGCGCUCCUAGUCAGAUAGAUAAUUUUAAGUUAUAAAUUAUAACUUUAGCAAAUGAAAAUUAUGCUCAAAGAUUGGGCCUGAAUAAAUAUUUAUAAAUUUCUUGAUAUUGAGCCAUGUAUAUAUAUUUUCUUACGUUUGGGCUUUAAAUAGCUCAUUUUAUAAGCUUAUUUAUAAUUGGACCUGAAUUAUGUUUUAAGCUGAGAAUUUUAUAGAAGGACCCAUAAAAACCAUAUUAUGAUAUUUUACUGAUUCUUAAUUAUGAAGCUUUAUUCUGAGAUACAAGAACGUGCCAAAUUCUUUUGCAAUGAUUUUAAAACAAUUAUUCAAGUUUCAAUAUUUAUAGUUAAUUAAUGAUUUCAAGGAUUUGGAUACCUUAUUUUCGUAUCUGCAAAUUAACAAUUUCUACUCUAUUUAUUUACAUUUGUUUAAAGAAGUCUCCAAGCCAGCCAUUCCUAUUUUCAUUCUUAUCAGAUAUCUAACCGCCCUAGUUAGAUGUGACUUUGAACUAUAAAUUAUACCUAUGGAAAUAAAGAUCUAUACUCAUAUUUUUAUAUAAAUUUGUGCCUAAAUAAAAUUAUUUAUUUAAAUAUAUUUAUUAUGACAUUAUAUUGAUUUUUGGAUAAAGAAUAAAAUAUUUUCUUAAUUUUUAUUAAUGUUGGGCUUGUUGUUAUUAAUGGGCUAAAGCUUCAUAUUUUUCAUGGAAGCCCAUACAUUCUUAUAUAUUAUAUAAAUUAUUAUUUUAAUUUAAAAGAAGGUAUAGGUGUAUCACUUUGCUACAGCCAUUUCAUUUCACUCGGCCACGUUUCGUCUCAAAACAUUCUUGAGCCACAAGUAUCAUCUCAAAUUUUCUUAUUUAAAACAUCAUCCUUUAUCAUCUCAGUUAUCAUGCCAAAAACGCAGCAAUCUUUAAGAUCAUUUGUGCUCUUUUCUCUGUAAAGGUGCGGCGCGACUAGGACGUGAACUUUAAAUUCUUGCAGUUAAUUUUCAAAACUCAAAAGUUCAAGUUUCAGGUUUUAAAGGCCGGAAGCGCGUGGAAGGUCGAAUGGCGAGUAAAAUGUUUUGAAUUUAGUUAUACUUAAAAACGUUAUGUUUAGUAAAGUAUUUUAACAUAAGAUAUUUAUUUCCCUAUUUUCACAUUAAAUAUUUAUUUAUAGUCAUUAUUUUCCACGUGCGUUUUCAUUUAAAAUUAAAAUGAAUUUGGGUGUCACAAGUCGAAUGGGCGCGUCGAAUCUAUUUAAAGAUAAAUGUUUCCUAAAACAUAUUAUGUUAUUUCAUGUGAUAUCUCUUGAUUAUGUAAACUCUGAAAUUCUAUACUAUUUGAGAUUUGUGUGUGAUUUGUUUAAAUAAAUGUUAUUAUAUUAUUUUAAUGUCA